Molecule: ribosomal RNA, 413 nt
Filed under: uncultured cyanobacterium
Lineage: Bacteria; Bacillati; Cyanobacteriota
Description: bacterial SSU rRNA
Rfam family: Bacterial small subunit ribosomal RNA
Source: RNAcentral
GGGGAAUUUUCCGCAAUGGGGGCAACCCUGACGGAGCAACGCCGCGUGGGGGAGGAAGGUCUGUGGAUUGUAAACUCCUUUUCUCAGGGAAGAAGCUCUGACGGUACCUGAGGAAUCAGCAUCGGCUAACUCCGUGCCAGCAGCCGCGGUAAGACGGAGGAUGCAAGCGUUAUCCGGAAUUAUUGGGCGUAAAGCGUCCGUAGGCGGUUUAUCAAGUCUGCCGUUAAAGACUGCAGCUUAACUGUGGGCCAGCGGUGGAAACUGAGGAACUAGAGUGCGGUAGGGGUAGAGGGAAUUCCCAGUGUAGCGGUGAAAUGCGUAGAUAUUGGGAAGAACACCAGUGGCGAAGGCGCUCUACUGGGCCGUAACUGACGCUGAGGGACGAAAGCUAGGGGAGCGAAAGGGAUUAGAUA